UCAUCACCUCUAACAAUGGGACUCACAGAGUUCCUGCCAUUACCAUUCUCUUUUGGACUACCAUCAUACUCUGAUCCACGCUUUGGGCUCGCAUCUGUCACUUUUUGGUCUGGGCUCAGGCUUUGGUCCCUGCCUUUAGGUGACAAAGAUCGCUCCAUUGCCUUAGGGCUGCGUGAUCUGUCCUCUACGCUUUUCUCUCUUCUCACUGGGGAUCGCGAUCGACUGAUGAAAAGAGAAAUAAAGAGUCAACAAAAGGGUAUAAGCCCAUAAUACCGUGUAAAAUUAGUGUUGUCAUCAACGUACUAAUAGCCUACAAAGUAAGAAUAAUUUCUACAAUGCUAGGGAAACUAGUUGUCUAAAGUCCAAAUUUAUCACUGACCUGU
Molecule: long non-coding RNA, 383 nt
Filed under: Arabidopsis lyrata
Lineage: Eukaryota; Viridiplantae; Streptophyta; Magnoliopsida; Brassicales; Brassicaceae
Description: long non-coding RNA (ALYR_LNC001799)
Source: RNAcentral